Long non-coding RNA from Ctenopharyngodon idella (grass carp), 1088 nucleotides. RefSeq lists it as uncharacterized. NCBI's taxonomy places the organism in Eukaryota, Metazoa, Chordata, Actinopteri, Cypriniformes, Xenocyprididae. The transcript is spliced from 2 exons. The record is from RefSeq and is a predicted model, not a curated record.
GUAAUCUCGGUGGGAUUUCCCUCUUUGGAUCCGUCCUCAGAUUCGGCUCUUUCUGCACUUCCUAAAAGCUCUUCUCCUCCUCUGCACUCACUUCCUCUAUGAGAUGGCACUACACCACAGCUGUUUUCAGUUUCAGAAUUACUCUCUGCAAAUGAAUCCCACUUCGUUGGAGCAGUGGCUGUCAUUUAGUUCCCCAGAAUAUGAAAUCUCCCCACAGUCCUCUCCUUCCUCUCCCAGACCGUGCUGUUUCCAGUCAUCUGGCUUUCCGGGAUUCCAGCGUCUGUGAAUAAUGCCAAUCCACAAAUGUCACACCAUUCCAUCUGAAUAUACCACCAACAACAAAUAUUUAAACAGAUGGAAUUUUUUGUUUAAUGCAAGAUGCAUUUACUUGACGAGCAAAAGCUUGAAGUACAUUAUCUUGAAGUAUAGCUGCUUCCUUUCCUACUCAUGAUUACAAUUUGCAAUAAUUGGAAGAUGGAAAACUAUGUGACCAUUAUCCACCUUAUUUUUAACGUAAGAGUGGUGUGGUCAUUUCUGGCUUGAAUGUGUGAGGCUUCCGGUAUCGGGUUUUACCUGUACAAUCUGUUAUGCUGCUUAAUAUUGCAAACUGGUAUUUACACAUCACAUUAUUUUAAUUAUCAUAUACCAAAAACACAUUGGUUUGUAGUUCAAAUAGUUUUACUGUUUACUGCACUUUGUUAUUUUUCUUUUUUUUUUUUUCUGAGAACAUGUAAUCAAACAUGUCUGGGGUAUAUAAAAAGAAAAAGAAGUUCUUACUUUUAGAUUUUGUUUCCAAAUACAUUUUAAAUUUUUGUAUUUCCAAUGUGUGAACAGCUAAUAAUGAAACUUAAAAACUGAGAACUUCCCCGACUUCCUAGGUUGUCUAUGAAAGCCUGUAGACUGACUUUUAUGUGAAGAACUCAGAAAUCAAAAGGAUGUGAUAGUUAGACUUACUCCCGAGAGCCUCUCUUCUGUUCACUGACACAUGAAACAAACAAUGUUCAGGAUAAUGCUGAAAGCCAUGCUGUACUGAAAUGUAAAUGUGUCAUGCAAAGAAAAGGGAUUAAUUAAAACUAUAGUCUCACAUA